RNAcentral lists this long non-coding RNA (6914 nucleotides) under Cicer arietinum (chickpea). Its description in RNAcentral is "long non-coding RNA (CARI_LNC000599)". The record is from RNAcentral. Lineage: Eukaryota; Viridiplantae; Streptophyta; Magnoliopsida; Fabales; Fabaceae.
CCUUCACUAAUUGGCAACAAUCCAGAUCCUAAGGUAAUUGAAGAGAGUGAAGCAAAGCUUGUGAAGGUGUUGAACAUUUAUGAAGAGAGGCUAUCUAAGAAUAAAUAUUUGGCUGGUGAUUUCUUUAGCCUUGUUGAUAUAAGUCACCUUCCUUUUACUGAUUAUAUUGUUAAUCAUAUGGGAAAAGAUUAUUUGAUAAAGGAUAGGAAACAUGUUUGUGCUUGGUGGGAUGAUAUUAGUAGUAGACCAUCAUGGACCAAGGUUCUUGAAUUAUAUAGACCUCCAAUCUAGUUAGUGAAACAUAAAAAUGCUAGCAUAUACUCUCCUUUAUUGGUUGAAUUUUAUACAUGAUCCACUAAAUUAUGUGGAAUAUACAUUAAUUUAGUGAGUUUUAUAUAAAUUUCAACUAAUAGGAAGAAAUAUGUAUUGAAGUGUGUUAUUAAAAGUAACAUGGUUUUAUCUAGUUUGAGGAGAAGUGAAGAAUAAAUGUUGUUUAAUGAGAUAUAGUAUCGUUUUAUACAAGAAACGAUUAUAAGCUAUUUUAAUAAAAAUUAUAAAAUUUAGUGUAUUAUACUAACUAAAUUUCAAAAUUGUUGUCUAUUUUAUUUUGUGAGAGUAUUUUUUUUAUCUGAAAAAAAUAGACUACUGUAUAUUCAAAAUAUUGUUUAAUUAUUUUUAUAUGAAUUGAUAAAGUUAGGAUAAAUUAAAUUUUUUAAAUAUAAAAUUCAAAUUAUUUAAAAAAUAAAAUAGAUUAAUAUAAAAUUUACUUGGAUCAUAUGCAAAAUCAAAUUUCUAAGGCUACCAUGGAUUCUUCUAGAUGCAAUAAAUCCUGAACAAAACACCGAUAAUGCAACAACACAAAUCCAAUCGCUAUCUACUGGCUAGUCAUGACCACUUAGAUUUACUUGGACUAUUGAUAAUGAGAAUGUGAAGAAUAUUAUAUAUUAUUGAUGUCACCUUUGUUGAAAAUUUGAAUGAAAGAUGGAAACAUAUUGGUUAAUAACUUGAAUUAUUUAUUAGUUGAGUUGUUUAGAACUUUUUUAAACACAAAUUUAUAGGCUUUUAUGUGGUCUUGACAAGCUUUAUUUACUUGAAAAGUAAUAGAGCCAAAGGUUUUAAAUGAAAAUAAUACCAAGUUUAAAGACGGAUCUUCAGUUUUGUCUCUCAUAAGGGUGUUCAUGGUGAUCGGGUUUAAGAUAAAAUUUCAUUUAAUCUAACGAUAAAAAUAAAUACAGUUUGGUUAAAAAUAAAUACAGUUUGGUGAACUUUUAUAGGAAGAAUUACUCCUUGAUGAAUUGUACUCAAAAUCUUUUAGAUCAUUGUGAGAUCCUCUGCGAGAUCCACAGACAAUUGUGUGAUGUUCAUCAUAUAUAUAGUCAUGAUUUGAUCACAAAGGAUAACAUGUUCAGCUAAAGUGUAUUUUGCGUUUGAGUCAGAUGGAUCUGUGAGAUUUUGCAUUCGAGUCCAAUUGAUAUUGGCCCAAAAUCCAUUCUGGAACAAACUCUAACAAAUUGGUAACUAACAAAAAAAAAAAAGUUGUUUUCUAUGAAAAAUUUAUCCUAUAUCAGGCUUAUACCUCACAAUUUUAUGAAAAUGUUAAAAUUACUAUUAAUUUUUCUUUUUACUAUUUCACAAAAUUUGAAGUCACUUUUUAUUUAUCAUUUCAUCAUUUCCAGAGCAGUAAAAAAAGGUAUAAAUUUUCUGGUAACUUUUGAAAAACUAUUUGGAAGAAUUCCGGUAUCCAGAGUGUUUCUGGAAAACUUUUUACAAGUUUUCCGUUAUUGAAGAAUGUUACCGGAAAACUUUAAAAAAAAUUCCAGUACAUAAUGAAAAAUGUGUAUACCAGAAAAUUUUCUUCAAUUUUUUUUGAUACAUAAGGUGUUUCUGGAAAACUUCAUUGACAAGUUUUCGGUACACGCCAAUUUUUUAAAUUUUUUUUUAAUUUUUUUAAAUUUAUUAAUUUUGUUAAAUGUUAAGAGAUAUAGAUAAACCACUACUAUUAUUGGAUAAAACAUGCAUCACUAUUACAAACAUUUUUUACAUAGAUCAGAUAUGAAUAAUUAUGAUUAAUAUUAAUAUUAUAAAAAUAUAUUAUUGUGAUUGAUUAUAAUUUAUUUUAUAUUAUUGUAAUUAAUUAUAAUUUAUUUUAUAUUUUAUUUUAGAUAUUUGAUACAAGAGACGCUGUUGUGAAUUGGGCUAAAGAAAUCAUAUAAAAAAUAAAGUUAAUGUUAUCAUGAGAAGAUCAGAUAUAUAGACAAGAGAGAAAGAGAGGAGAAAUAAAUUAAUAUUAGGUUGUGACAAAGGAGGAAAAUACAAGUGUGUUGUUAGUUCAACUCGAAGUUCAACAAAAAAGUGUGAUUGUCCUUUCAAGCUUAUAUCAAAACCAUAAAAAGAUGGUUCAAGAUGAACAAUUAAAGUAAUUUAUGGAGUUCACAACCAUGAAUUAUCUGAUACUUUAGAGAGGCAUGCAUUUGUUGGAUGCUUAGAUGAAGAAGAAAAAAACAUGUUCAUGACUUAAUAAAAUAUAUUGUUGCACCGAAACACAUAUUACUCUCAUUGCAAGACCGAGAUAAGAAUAAUGUUAUUAAGAUAUCACAAAUAUAUAAACAAAUGAGUAUGAUUCGAUUACAAGUGAGAGAUAAUAAAACAUAGAUGCAACAUUUAUUCAAGUUAAUUAAAGAUGCAAAAUAUGUUUAUUUGAAUAGAAAACGUGAAGACUCAAAUGUUAUGAGAGUUAUUUUUUAGGCGCAUUUAGAUUCAGUGAAGUUGUUGAAAUUUUUUUCGAUUGUAUUGGUUAUGAGUAGUACCUACAAAACCAAUAAAUUCAUAAUACUAUUACUUGAAAUUAUUGGUAUGACAUCAACAGAGAUGUCAUUUGUAGUUUGAUUUGCUUAUUUGGAAUGUGAGCGGGAAUAAAACUUUUGAUGGGAAUUAUAGACAAGCUAAGAGAAAUGUUUGUUACACAAAACAAAUUUCCUCAAGUAAUUGUGAUAGACAGAGAUCUUGCGUUAAUGAAUGCAGUUGAUAUUGUAUUUUCACAUGCUGUUAAUUUGCUUUUUCAAUUUCAUAUCUCUAAAAAUAUUGGAGUAAAAUGUAAGCAAUAUGUCUUAAAGGAUAGACAAGAGUUAAUAUUAAAUAUGUGGAAAGAAAUUAUGUAUUGCAGUGAUAAAAAAUAAAAAAUAAAAGAGUAUAUCAUGUGUUUGCACAUGUUUGAGCAAUCAUAUGUCGAUAAUAAAAUGUUUGUUGACUAUGUGAAAGAAACUUGGUUGACUCCUUAUAAGGAAAGGUUUGUUGAAGCAUGGACAAAUUGAGUGAUGCAUUUGGAGAACACAACGACUAAUGAGUAUGUCAUGUGACUCUAAAACUUUGAUUUUGUAAUUUUAUUAUAUAUUGUUGAAUUGCUUAAUGGUGACAAUUUAUAUGUAAUGAUAGGGUUGGGUCAACUCAUUGGAAACUGAAGUUAAUGUUGGAACACAACAUAGGUGACAUGUAUAAAUGUUGGGAGGCUAUGAACAACAUGAUAAGGUUGCAACAUAAAAAAAUCAGUGGCUCGUUUCAGAAAAAUUUCUAUGAUGAAGAUCAUGAACAUAUAAAUUCAUUUUAUCAGAGAUUGAAUAUAUUUGUAUCAAGAGAAGCUCAAAGACGUAUUCCUCAAGAAUACGAGAAAGUUGAGUGGGUGGGUACUAACAAAUUUGUAUGUGGGUGCUCUCUCAUAAGGACAUACGAGCUACCUUGUGCUUGUGAAUUGGCACAAUAUAAAUUAAUGGGUGAACCAAUACCUCUAGAUUAUGUGGAUAUUCAAUGGACAAAAUUAAGCAUGGAAUGUGAAAUCACCCAAGACAUAGAAGAUGGGAUAGUUGGAUAUGUCUACUGAGAUGAAUGCCUUAUGGAAAUAUUUUCAAUCACUUGAUGUUAUAGGAAAACGAGUGUUGAAGAGUAAGGUGCGUGAACAUGUUUUUUCAACUACAAGUUCAAUGUGUCCAUCUCCUGAAAAAGUUAAAACCAAAGGACGAGUGAAGAAGAGUAAAGGUGAUAAGUCGGAUGAAUAUGAUGUAUAUCGAGACCCUUCUUACUUUGAGCAUGUUAAUGCAACAUAUUAUGAAGAUCUUGGUUCCCAACCAUCUUAGUCAUCAAAGAAGAGACAACCCUCUCAAUCAAAGAAACAACCAUCUCAAUCUUCAAAGUAUUUUUUCUGGAGACAAUUUCCUGAUGUUAUUCAACUAUACAUUUUUGACAUAUUUGAUGUGGUAGUGGAUGAAAAUUUUGGUUUUCGCGUUAUUGCAUUAUUGCUUGGAUACAGUGAGGAGUCUUGGUCUUUGGUCUGCAAUAGUUUGGACCACAAGAUUGCUUCUCAUAUAACUCGAUAUGAUAGGCAGCUCCUAGGACGCAUUAAAAAAGUAAAAGAUUCGUUGAAGAUAUUCGGCUUAGGUCUUCAACCCGUAGAUAAAUUGAUGUCCAUACCUGAUAUGGGUUAUGUGAUAGCGACAACAUAUAAUAUUAUUCUCGUCACGUUUGGUCAGAUAUUUUCAAUGACUUUCUUUCCUAUGAGUGGUUCACAUUCAGGAUCGACAAAAAAUGAUCAUAUGAUAUGUAUUGGUUUUGUUGAUGGAAAUCAUUGGAUUCGGUAAAAUUAUCUGAUUUUCUUUUGUAUUAAUUUUUUAAAAUAAUCAAAUGAAUUUUUAAAAUAAUCAAAUGAUUUUAUUUGGCAGUUAAAUAUGAAAGAUAGAUUUCCAAUGCCAGACAUUGCACCAGGUUAGAAGCAAUAUCGCACUGAUGAAGCAACUUCUUAGGCAAUAGCAUAUGUAGGGCGUCUACAACACUGAGGGUAUUUAUACAGGUUGUCUACAACACUGAGGGUAUUUAUACAGGUUGUCUACAACACAUAAGAUUGGCAAUAUCAUCCAAAGUAAUCGUCAUUUCACCAAAUGACAUGUGAAAUGACGAUGUCUCGGAAUGUCAUCUUUCCACAAACACAUAAAUCAAAUUGUUGUCGAUCAUCUUCAAACUACUCGUUGUAAUGGGGCUAAUCCUAAAAAAUUUACUCAAUUCUCUAUGGAUUGCGGGAGUACUAACAGAGUAAAUUGUUGCAUUUUCUUUUCAGACACAACAAUUUUCAGCAAUAGUCGCUCCUGUAUACAAAGAAAAUAUAUAAUAUUAAAAUUAAAUAUAUAAAAAAAUAAUUAAUUUAAAUAUUUUUAAUGCACUAUAAUAAUAAUUAAUUUAACAUAACUGAUCAAACCACAUUCUAGCUGAAACAUGAUGACGGUAUCGUGUAAGGACGGACAAAUCAUGUGGUCCUUCAGGAUACCGUGUGAGUUCACCUAGUCAUUGAGCUCCAUCAUGCCCAUCCUCCAUACUAAUGGUGGAUAAAUAUUUUUCUUAUUAAUGAUGGAUAAAUAUAAGAUAAAAUUAAUAUCACGUCUUUCUUCUUACACAAACUCUUUCUCAAUGGUCCAUGUAAUGUCUUCCAUUCAAAGAAUGGUAAGAUACUUUUCUUCUUUCAUAAACUCUUUCUCAAUGGUCCAUGUAAUGUCUUCUAUUCAAAUAAUGAUAAGAUUAUUUUCUUCUUUCAUAAACACUCUCUCAAUGGUCCAUGUAAUGUCUUCCAUUCAAAGAAUGGUAAGAUUCUUUUCUUCUUCCAUAAACUCUUUCUCAAUGGUCCAUAUGUAAUGUCUUCCAUUCAAAUAAUGGUAAGAUUAUUUUCCUCUUCCAUAAACUCUUUAUCAAUGGUACAUGUCUUAAAUAAAUGCCUCAUUGCAACCACGAUGUAUUGAUAUAUAAAUAGAUCUCCCACUUUAUAUCUCUUGUUGAAACAUAUAUUUGAAGAGAAAUCAAACCAUGGUAGUAAAGGUGUAUAGUCCCCAUUGUGCCUCAACCAAACGUGUGAUGGUUUGUCUCAUUGAGAAGGAAGUUGAAUUUGAGACUAUCCCUCUUGAUGUCAUUAAGGGAGAGCACAAGGAUCCUCAGUACCUCAAAUUACAGGUUCACUUCCUUUCAUCUUUCUUAAAUAUAUGCUAACAAUAUUUAAUUCAAGGUUUAAUCAUUCAGUUGAGUUAAACAAAAGUUUGAUUAUUGAGUUUAAAUAAAAAUAUUUAUAAAAGUCUAAAAAAAAUUUGUCGCGCAUUUAAUCAUAUCUUAAUAUUUACUUUUCAUGAUUGACUCAUAUUCUUUGUUGAUAAUUAAUCUGCAGCCCUUUGGAGGUAUUCCAGUUAUUGAAGAUGGAGAUUAUACCCUAUAUGGUAAUCUAUUAUGACCCCAAGUUAUACUUUAUUAAUUAUUUUUCAAAUAUAAUUAAAUAAAAAUGGUAAUUAGUAAAAUUGAUGUAUAUCUUUUUAAAAUCAAAAUCCAAUAUAUCAAUUUUUCAAUUUCUAUUUAUAUUUAUAUUUAUUUUAAAUGGAAUAUUAUUUAAUGUUUCUAUCUAGUGAUUUUAAUGGUUUCAAUUUAUGUAAUUGUGCAGAAUCUCGAGCAAUAAUGAGAUAUUAUGCUGAAAAAUAUAGAUCUCAAGGGGUUGAGUUGCUAGGAAAGACAAUUGAAGAAAGGGGUCUAGUGGAACAAUGGUUAGAAGUUGAAGCACAAAAUUUCAACCCACCAGCAAGCGACUUAGCCAUUCACAUUUUAUUUCCUUUUAUAAUUGGCAACAAUCCAGAUCCUAAGGUGAUUGAAGAGAGUGAAGCAAAGCUUGUUAAUGUGUUGAACAUUUAUGAAGAGAGGCUAUCUAAGAAUAAAUAUUUGGCUGGUGAUUUCUUUAGCCUUGUUGAUAUAAGUCACCUUCCUUUUAUUGAUUAUAUUGUUAAUCAUAUGAGGAAAGAUUAUUUAAUAAAGGAUAGGAAAUAUGUUAGUGCUUGGUGGGAUGAUAUAAGUAAUAGACCAUCUUGGACCAAGGUUCUUGAGUUAUAUACAGCUCCAAUCUUGUU